This is an RNA transcript of Quercus robur (English oak), 1057 nucleotides long. It is a transcript of the gene named 50S ribosomal protein L9, chloroplastic, with no coding region annotated. The record is from RefSeq and is a predicted model, not a curated record. Lineage: Eukaryota; Viridiplantae; Streptophyta; Magnoliopsida; Fagales; Fagaceae. The transcript has 7 exons.
UAAAGAGAUAAGAUCAUUAAACAGACCAAAAUCAGAGACACAAAAAGAGACAGUCAGUGAGUGUGAGUGGCUUUUGGUGUGGCGAUGGCAUCUACAGCUUCGGCUCUGUCAUGGAGUUCUUCUUCGUGGCUCAAGAGCUUCGGUGGAAACUCAAACGAAGCUUCUAAACUAUCGGAUAGAAGAACAGCCUUGGUCAUUUUGGCUCAGAAGAAAGCCAAGAAGACCCGAAAGGUAAUUUUGAAGGAGGACGUGGAAUACCUGGGAAAGAUGGGGCAGCUACUUGAUGUUAAAGCUGGGUUUUAUAGGAAUUUUUUGCUGCCUACGGGAAAGGCCCAGAUUGUCACUCCCAUUCUGCUCAAGGAAAUGCGAAUGGAAGAGGAGAGAAUUGAGGCUGAGAAAAAACGGGUAAAAGAAGAGGCACAGCAACUUGCUCUGAUCUUUGAAACUGUUGGAGCUUUUAAGGUGAAGCGCAAAGGUGGGAAAGGGAAACAAAUUUUUGGAAGUGUAACUGCUCAAGAUCUUGUUGACAUAAUCAAGGCACAACUUCAGAGGGAUGUGGACAAGAGAAUUGUUUCUCUUCCAGAAAUCCGGGAAACGGGAGAAUAUAUUGCAGAGCUGAAGCUUCACCCAGAAGUUACCGCUCGAGUGAGGUUAAAUGUGUUUGCCAACUAAGAGCCAGCACCUUGUGGUGCCCCAAGCUCUGGUUGGAACAUUUGUGCUACUAGCUUGCACAUCUAAGGAGGAGCACGAUUGAUGUAAUAUCGGAGUAAUGUGGAUGCCUAAUGGGGAUUGACAUAUGUGUAAUUAUGCUUGUGUGUAAUUAUAUUAAUCCAAUUUGCUUACAGCUUUGCCAUUUUUACUGUUGUUAGUUCAACCUCCAUCUCCUGUAUGUUAGGCUCUAAAGAACCAAGCCGUUUGUUUUGUUUCAAAUUUGCACAUUCUUUUUUUAGGUAUUUAGUUGGUUCUCUUUUUAUGGCUCUAAUAUAGUGGGAUAUCCUCAACAAACUUCUUAUCAGUUUUUAAUGAAUCAAUCACACAUGAUUCUCUUUUUGGUUCU